GGGGGGGUGGUCUAGCUUGGUAUGAUACUCGGCUGGGGAGGUAGUGGCCGGGGGUUCGAAUCCCUCCCCUCCCA
RNAcentral lists this transfer RNA (74 nucleotides) under archaeon. RNAcentral describes it as "tRNA-Pro". It matches the Rfam family "tRNA". Rfam says of the family: Transfer RNA (tRNA) molecules are approximately 80 nucleotides in length. The record is from RNAcentral.